GCCUUAGAGCAAGGACGUGCUUACGAACCGUGUCAGGUCCGGAAGGAAGCAGCACUAAGUUUGUUGCAUCCUGUGCUCUAAGUUUGA
This 87-nucleotide signal recognition particle RNA is filed under the name Limosilactobacillus panis. RNAcentral describes it as "signal recognition particle sRNA small type". It matches the Rfam family "Bacterial small signal recognition particle RNA". From Rfam's summary of the family: The signal recognition particle (SRP) is a universally conserved ribonucleoprotein involved in the co-translational targeting of proteins to membranes. Archaeal SRP consists of a 7S RNA and homologues of the eukaryotic SRP19 and SRP54 proteins. The record is from RNAcentral. Lineage: Bacteria; Bacillati; Bacillota; Bacilli; Lactobacillales; Lactobacillaceae.